UUUUCCUUAUCUGCUGUUAAUAGCCCCAUCAAUGCCUUACCACAUGAACCAGAGAUAACACUGUCCAGGAGCAGGUGAUUAAGGACACACCUUGAGACUCAUAAUGACCCAUUGUGAGAUGCUCUGCCCAGGGGGGAGGAGCUAGGCAUUCCAACCUGGAUAAACUGGGGAUUUCUAGACAGAAGAGCCAGCCUUUUCACAGGUUCUCCGAGAGGCCGCAGCGACUACAUCUGCCAUCCCAAAAGGACUGCAGCUACUCCAAUUUGGACUGCUGCCAGCACGCUGGCCAGGUUGCGUUCUGACUUUGUCGGUGGUCUUUCCCUUUGUAUUGUUACAUGUAUUUUUUGUCCUUUUCCCCUUUUUCCCAGUAAAUUGUAUUUCUGACUUGGAGUCUCUCACUGGUUUUGCUUUCAAACCAGAACAUAUUUUUGGCGCCCAACGUGGGGCAAGAAAGCACUGAGAGAAGUCAGAAUUACAAUCUUGUAUUGUAGAGGGUAUCUAUUCACUAUGAUGCUCAACAUGCUUUUUUGGGCCUCAUACCUAGCUCUCUAUAUUUUCCCGAAUGUGGGGAAUUAUGUGGCAAUUGUAAUGCUCAUGUGUAGACCAGGGUAUGGUAUGAGAAUUGCCUUAUUGGUCUACUAUGUCUAUCGCAUUAUGACCUCUGAGGCAAUGAACAUGAUUUGGAAUAUGUACUCAAUUCUGUUUGCUUGUCCUAAUCUAGGCUGCUACAUCUGGGGCCUCGGCAACCUCACCCAGCCCCUGGGGGGAGGGGUAAAGAUUGAUUUUUUCCAACCUUUCAGGCUUGACACAGCAGUUUUUGAAAAUGUUAAAUUCCCUCUGGAUGCCAAGGACAGCAUAAUGUUGUUGUUAGUUCUUCUUUGUCUCCUCUGCACAGUCUGCAACAUGCUUAGAAACAAAACACUACAUAGUGUGAUGCAGCAAAACAUACAUAGUGUGGUGCAGCGUCUUCUUGAGGAAGAGGAAACAAGAAGCAAAGCAGCAGUGUCCGUGCCCGUACAGAAUACCACAACAGCAGCCAUGUCAACGCAGACUGCCACAGAGAAAGAAGGAACCAAAAGGAAAACAACAGUGUCCGUGUCUACGCAGACUGUCAUGGAGGAAGAAACAAAAAGCAAAGCAAAAGUGUCUAUGUCUACACAGACCGGCACAGAGGAGGAAGGAAUCGAAAGCGCCAUCAGCAUCUCCACACAAACCAUCACCAAACCAGAGCAGCCUGAACCCAUAGGAGUUGCCCCUGUUCAGAAGAAGAAAUCGAGGAGCAAAUCAGUCCGCAUAGUGACUGACGAGGACACUGCAGGACCCUCGCACCCAGUGGAAGAGACAGAACCAGAGAUCAUCACUCGCUCUCUAUCCCUGGGUGAGCUACGUGACCUGCGGAGAGAAUUCACCCGCCAGACAAAUGAGUCCAUCCUCACCUGGCUUCUCCGCAUCUGGGACGCUGCAGCCAAUGACACCAUUCUGGAUGGAAGUGAGGCCAGGCAACUGGGAUCACUAUCCCGGGAUGUGGUCAUUG
Molecule: long non-coding RNA, 1534 nt
Filed under: Chloebia gouldiae (Gouldian finch)
Lineage: Eukaryota; Metazoa; Chordata; Aves; Passeriformes; Passeridae
Description: Erythrura gouldiae (Gouldian finch) lncRNA (ENSEGOG00005009076.1)
Source: RNAcentral